Molecule: long non-coding RNA, 2673 nt
Organism: Esox lucius (northern pike)
Lineage: Eukaryota; Metazoa; Chordata; Actinopteri; Esociformes; Esocidae
Source: Ensembl
AAAAGGAAGGUUUUGAGUGAGGAACAGAAGGGUUAAAAUUAAGAGACCACAACAAAUUAAACGAGGAGGGUAUAUCUGCAGAUCACAAGUCGGGGGCAUAACUUAAUAUGGGGGUUCCUUACUAUUAACUUACGCCCAUUGACGUUUGCUAUUGGUCUGGUGUUUUUUAUUAAAUGCGUGCGUUUUGAACGAAGAAGGAAGAAUUACAGAGAUGUCGUGGACCAGGUGAGGAAGACCAAGCACCUAAGAUGCAGAAUUAGAAGAGCUUCCAGAAGAAUAUGUCUGCCCAAGACCACCAAGGCAAGAUACAGAAGUGAGACUGGUGUGGGGUCUUCUCUUUCCUUCCUGGAAUCAUUGGGAUCUUCAGACGUCCGUAGGUCUUCACUUUAACCAGUCCAGGAUCCUUUCCUUUCAGUUAUAAUAAUGUUGCCCAAAACAUCAGAAACACUUGUUUUAUGAACUCUGCUCUGUAGCGCCGGUUGGAACUGCCUGCAUUCUGCAGAGACAUCCUGAGACAGCAGGACAUCUGGAGUUCCUACCCCUCUUCUAAACUGCUCCGCUGUAGUGUUUGGUCAGGAGAAAUACAACCACCUGUCACUAAGUCUGAGCACUCACCUGAGACAUAGCCUGGAACAAUACUUCAUGCCGUCUCCAGUGGAAUGUAAAUGCUGGGACAGUUCAAGCAGCAUGGCAUCUGUGUCCACCCACUGCCCCGGUGAGCUUCCCCACCCCCGUGAUCCAGGGACGGACUGGGACUAAAAAACGGCCCUGGACUUUGGCUAGGCCCGGCCCAAAGCAAUCGGCGCGUGGAAACUCGACGACAACAACAAUAACGCCUGCCGCCUGGCAUGAGUGUCACAAGACCAUCCAAAUUAUAGCAAUAGCACUGAUGUUGACUAGAUGUUGUGUUAAAAGCAUAUUAUUCUAGAUUAUUGCUGUCUUAAAAUGAAUUUAUUACUUAAUAUUCUUAAUUAAUUUAUGCAGUAAUUAAUCUUACUGCACAAAUAAUAAUACCACAUCUAAAUUAAAAUACACCAUUACAAAUGUAACUUCUGUAUUCAAAAUCUUCAAAGUUUGUAAGCAUUAACUGUAACGUUACCAACAUUUUUUAAAGUAAAAGCACAACAUAUUUCUUAUAUUAGCUACUGCAUGUGGCAUUCUACAGCAAAAAUGUUGAAGUUUAGCUGUUUUAACUACUGUAAUCAUUAAAAAUGUAGCAAGCUGAAUAUCACUUCCUAACAUCCCUAGCAAGUAACUCUUUCUCUUCUCAUGUUCCAUACUUGCCCUGUAUCUGCCUGUGGAACCAGCUCAUCUUUCUGUUCUUCACUGCUGGUUCUGCUGCUAAUAUUUAACUGCGAGGUGCUGCUGCUGGCUGUGCAGCUAAAUAUUUCAGUUAGUUUGUGACAUUUAGCAGCUUUACUAUCUAAAUUCCGCUAUCUACAUUUUUUUUUUCUUUCGCCUACUCAGCCCCACCCUUUUCUUUUAGUUUUUUCCCCGCGGCCGCGUUAUGCAUAUUGUUUGUUCGUUUCUAUGCUUCUAUCUAACGUCUUUGCUGUUGGUUUCUUCCUCCUCUUCCACUUCUUCUCCUUACUUGGUGGCCACGGCCAUAGACAUCUUAUUUAAAGGCUAGACGUCUCAAGGCGCAGUCACUUCUGCCAUCACCGGUGGCCAUCUUGUCACAGGCAGGCUUCCUGUCGGGCUCUGUGGUACCUAAUAUAAGGUUCAGCCAGGACCACUUCGAACUUCUCUUCAACUCCAUCAGAGUAUCUGAAUAACAACCCUAAUGCCAGCCAGUUCAAGUACAUCUUUAGGAUGUAAAGCUGAUGGCCCAGUGUGGGGUUGUUAAACCAUGCAGAGGCAAUGUGACGGCACAGGAUGACACAGAGUCCCUACCAGCUGUGAUGGACACCUCUACAAGCCUGUCAGCUGUAGAUGUGUCCUCUGCAGCAGGAGGAGAAGAUCUUCCAUCCCCGUUUGCUGACAUUCCUGCCCUAGUACAUGAUCACAGGCUCUGAAGAAGCUGUCGUGUGAUGUCUGACGUGCCAGCCUGGUGACAGAUGCUGCAUCUGCCAUCAAGGACCAGAGCUACCACCUGCUGAAUUUAAAAAACAAUGGAGGUCUGGUGAUUCCAUCAGAGGGAACCGUGAGGGUCGUCAGGGCAGCAGAGUGGGUCAUUCGGCAGUCAUCAGGCAGUACCAGACAAUCACAGCCCAUCAAACUGCUUGAGGUUGUUUACAUUGUCUGAGAAAGGAUCGGUUCAGAGGAUGUUUGUGUUGGGAUAGACAGUAUAGACAGCUACCACCAUAGGCUGUUAAAAAUAAUUCUGUCCCUGUUUUUUAAGUUAAGGCUGCACCACAUCGCCAGAAUUAUAAUCCUCAGCUUACAGAGCAACAACAUGCAACAGAAACUUAAUGAAACUGUCCUUUUCAAAGGGCAUUAGCCCAAGGUAUGUGUUUUCAAGGUACUGUCCUCUUUUACUUCAACAGUAGUGUAGUGCUCUCUACAGCAUUUAUUUAUUUGUAUAUAUAAAUGAAUGAUUUAUUUAUAUUUGUAAAGGGGAAUCAUGUACCUAUUUUUUGUGUGCAAAUAAAUGUUACACUUAUAAUAGUUUAAAAAUAGAGACUUGUGUAAUUAUUCCAUAUUUUUUGUAGUCAUUCUAUAUCAGAACCCCUG